AUAGGGUGCGAGCGUUAAUCGGAAUUACUGGGGCGUAAAGCGUGCGCAGGCGGUUGUGCAAGACAGAUGUGAAAUCCCCCGGGGCUCAACCUGGGGAAUUGCAUUUGUGACUGCACGGCUAGAGUGUGUCAGAGGGGGGUAGAAUUCCACGUGUAGCAGUGAAAUGCGUAGAGAUGUGGAGGAAUACCGAUGGCGAAGGCAGCCCCCCUGGGAUAACACUGACGCUCAUGCACGAAAGCGUGGGGAGCAAACAGGAUUAGAUACCCUGGUAGUCCACGCCCUAAACGAUGUCAACUAGUUGUCGGGUCUUAAUUGACUUGGUAACGCAGCUAACGCGUGAAGUUGACCGCCUGGGGAGUACGGUCGCAAGAUUA
This 374-nucleotide ribosomal RNA is filed under the name uncultured organism. RNAcentral describes it as "partial 16S ribosomal RNA". It matches the Rfam family "Bacterial small subunit ribosomal RNA", at positions 527 to 896 of the family's 1533-position model. The record is from RNAcentral.